GACGAAGGCUUCAAGCGUUGUCCGGAUUUACUGGGUUUAAAGGGUGCGUAGGCGGAAAUAUAAGUCAGUGGUGAAAUCCCGCAGCUCAACUGCGGAACUGCCAUUGAAACUGCAUUUCUUGAAUACGGUUGAGGUAGAUGGAAUGUAACAUGUAGCGGUGAAAUGCUUAGAUAUGUUACAGAACUCCGAUUGCGAAGGCAGUCUACUAAGCCGUUAUUGACGCUGAGGCACGAAAGCGUGGGGAGCAAACAGG
RNAcentral lists this ribosomal RNA (253 nucleotides) under uncultured bacterium. RNAcentral's name for it is "partial 16S ribosomal RNA". It matches the Rfam family "Bacterial small subunit ribosomal RNA", at positions 524 to 776 of the family's 1533-position model. The record is from RNAcentral.